UUACACUGUCGUAUUUACAUUUCACUGUAGUAUUUACACUGUCAGUAGUAAUUACACUGUAGUUUCUCAUGACAAGACAUCUCAACCAAGAUCCUCUAGAGAACUUCUUUGGCCUCAUUAGGCAGCAGGGAAAUUGUGACAACACAGUCUCAUACAAUUCACCAGAGCAUUUUGCAAAUUAUUUGUAGACAAUAUUUUGACACCACUUUCAAUUGGCAGCUGUGCUGAAGAUUCUGAUGCCUAUUUGAUUGCAUUUCACCCUAGCCAAUCUCUGAUUUAUCUGCAGGAAAUGAUCAGACAAGCCCACCACUAAUCCAAGCAGUUGAAGAUACUGACUACAAAACAAAUGAAAUUGAACAAAACUUUAGUCUGCAUGAACUUAUGUGUCAGGCUAUUUAUUAAGGAAGUGGC
Molecule: non-coding RNA, 411 nt
Organism: Paramuricea clavata
Lineage: Eukaryota; Metazoa; Cnidaria; Anthozoa; Malacalcyonacea; Plexauridae
Source: the annotation of a GenBank genome assembly